This 77-nucleotide transfer RNA is filed under the name Ralstonia solanacearum. RNAcentral describes it as "Pseudo tRNA". Lineage: Bacteria; Pseudomonadati; Pseudomonadota; Betaproteobacteria; Burkholderiales; Burkholderiaceae. The record is from RNAcentral.
AGGCAAGGGGCUGAAAGGUCAACAACAGCGGACUCAUAAUCGUUUGGUCGUGGGUUCGAAACCCACCGGGCCCACCA